GGAAGUAAAAGUUGUAACAAGGUUUCCGUAGGUGAACCUGCGGAAGGAUCAUUCAUAAUAAGUGUUUUAUGGCACUUUUUUAAAUCCAUAUCCACCUUGUGUGCAAUGUCAGGGUUGGUCUCUUUUGAUCAGCCCCAAACAUCAACUAUUAUCUCAACUCUUUGUCUGAAAAAUAUUAUGAAUAAAACAAUUCAAAAUACAACUUUCAACAACGGAUCUCUUGGCUCUC
This 229-nucleotide unclassified non-coding RNA is filed under the name plant metagenome. Its description in RNAcentral is "partial contains small subunit ribosomal RNA, internal transcribed spacer 1, and 5.8S ribosomal RNA". The stretch from base 1 to 54 matches the Rfam family "Eukaryotic small subunit ribosomal RNA", at positions 1778 to 1831 of the family's 1831-position model. The record is from RNAcentral.